GGGCCCAUAGCUCAGUUGGUUAGAGCACCACGUUUACACCGUGGGGGUCGUCCGUUCGAGUCGGACUGGGCCCA
RNAcentral lists this transfer RNA (74 nucleotides) under Bifidobacteriaceae bacterium. Its description in RNAcentral is "tRNA-Val". It matches the Rfam family "tRNA". From Rfam's summary of the family: Transfer RNA (tRNA) molecules are approximately 80 nucleotides in length. Their secondary structure includes four short double-helical elements and three loops (D, anti-codon, and T loops). Further hydrogen bonds mediate the characteristic L-shaped molecular structure. tRNAs have two regions of fundamental functional importance: the anti-codon, which is responsible for specific mRNA codon recognition, and the 3' end, to which the tRNAs corresponding amino acid is attached (by aminoacyl-tRNA synthetases). tRNAs cope with the degeneracy of the genetic code in two manners: having more than one tRNA (with a specific anti-codon) for a particular amino acid; and 'wobble' base-pairing, i.e. permitting non-standard base-pairing at the 3rd anti-codon position. Lineage: Bacteria; Bacillati; Actinomycetota; Actinomycetes; Bifidobacteriales; Bifidobacteriaceae. The record is from RNAcentral.